GUGUGUGUAUAUAAUGCAGUGUGUUUGUGUGGUGUGUUUAUAUAAUGCGCACUACACAAACACACUGCAUUAUAUACACACAC
RNAcentral lists this microRNA precursor (83 nucleotides) under Pelobates cultripes (western spadefoot toad). Lineage: Eukaryota; Metazoa; Chordata; Amphibia; Anura; Pelobatidae. The record is from RNAcentral.